CCCUACGGGGUGCAGCAGGCCGCUCGUUCGUGGUAUAUGUUUAAAACCUUUAGUCAUAAUCUGUUACAAAUGAUGUAUGAGUCUGGAAUUAAUAAGCAAGACAUCAAGCCCGCCAUGUAUGUUCUACUCUCUUCGAUGGUGGUAGGGGGAUUGGGUUCGGUCCCGUUGUUUGCAUUGAUGCUCAAGUUUCUCCUGAAACCGCUUCCAGGACCACCACCAGACAACCCGGAAGAACAGCUAUAUGCCAUGUUGAAUAUGUUGGGUGGAAAACCGUUAGAACGGUUUGGGCGUGGCGGGAUCAUGGGCGUAGCCGGCGUGGACGUAAGGGGUUCUCUGCGGAUUGACACCAAGGAUAUACUGCCAAAGACGCUUGGCGAAUUGGCGGGGGGGC
Molecule: ribosomal RNA, 391 nt
Filed under: uncultured prokaryote
Description: partial 16S ribosomal RNA
Source: RNAcentral